UUUUGUUCACUCCAUACCCAGGGCCUGGAAGAAUGCCUGACCUAGAAGAUACCCAAUGGAUUCUUACGGCAGGAAUGUCCAAUGGGUGUUAGGGGUGAGGCUCAGGGAAUUAAGCACCUUGUGCUGGGUCACAGAGGCUGAAUUCCAGUAGCCAUUCUGCGUUGCAGCCCUUCAUCUAGAUGCUGUUCAUUAAGAGGAGUGCCCCCGCCCCCACCCACCAUGGGGCUGGCUGCUCACCAGCACCAUUAACAGUGUUUGGCACAUGCUGGACUCUCAAGAGGAUUGAGCAUGGUUCCUUCUCAGAAGCGGAUUUCUGAAAGGCCCUGCCCUUCAGGGGCCAUGGAUGGGGCCACCAGUUGCCGGGCAAAGAAAGAGCAGCCAGGAAGCAAGUGACGAAGCCUGCAAGAAGGCCAGGGAGGAACAGGAAGGACCAGCUGAAGAUGUAUUAAUAGCAACACAGGAUAAGGCCCGGCUGUUCCUGUUAGGACCACUUUCUCCAGCCAAAUCCAUGGCUCCUCUCACCUCCUCCAGGCCUUUGCUCACCCCAGCCUCUUCCCUGACUGGGUGCCUCCCAUUGGAACCCUCCCUGGGGAACCCGUCCCACAGUGAUGGAGCGCCUUAUACCCGCU
This 629-nucleotide long non-coding RNA is filed under the name Rhinopithecus bieti (black snub-nosed monkey). RNAcentral's name for it is "lncRNA (ENSRBIG00000046169.1)". The record is from RNAcentral. Lineage: Eukaryota; Metazoa; Chordata; Mammalia; Primates; Cercopithecidae.